RNAcentral lists this ribosomal RNA (523 nucleotides) under uncultured bacterium. RNAcentral describes it as "partial 16S ribosomal RNA". It matches the Rfam family "Bacterial small subunit ribosomal RNA", at positions 28 to 523 of the family's 1533-position model. The record is from RNAcentral.
GACGAACGCUGGCGGCGUGCCUAAUACACGCAAGUCGAACGCUUUUUCUUUCACCGGAGCUUGCUCCACCGAAAGAAAAAGAGUGGCGAACGGGUGAGUAACACGUGGGUAACCUGCCCAUCAGAAGGGGAUAACACUUGGAAACAGGUGCUAAUACCGUAUAACACUAUUUUCCGCAUGGAAGAAAGUUGAAAGGCGCUUUUGCGUCACUGAUGGAUGGACCCGCGGUGCAUUAGCUAGUUGGUGAGGUAACGGCUCACCAAGGCAACGAUGCAUAGCCGACCUGAGAGGGUGAUCGGCCACACUGGGACUGAGACACGGCCCAGACUCCUACGGGAGGCAGCAGUAGGGAAUCUUCGGCAAUGGACGAAAGUCUGACCGAGCAACGCCGCGUGAGUGAAGAGGGUUUUCGGAUCGUAAAACUCUGUUGUUAGAGAAGAACAAGGAUGAGAGUAGAACGUUCAUCCCUUGACGGUAUCUAACCAGAAAGCCACGGCUAACUACGUGCCAGCAGCCGCCGUAA